AUCUGGGCGGCGGAAUUCAGGGUGGCUGGCGAUGCUCUCGCGGUGCGUCGGUCGUUUGAUAUUUCCGUCGCCAACUAACCGCAGACGUCGCGACCUGUUCGCGGUCGGUCGCUGAGCCACGUUCGAGCUCGUUGUGUGCGUGUUUCGGCGCGUCACACGGCGAAUGCGUGGAUUUCUGGCUGGCCGUCGGACAGUAUGCUAAACGGUGUCCGGUGUCGUCGUCUGCGCGGCAUCGGUACCGAGAUCAGCGACGAAUUCUUCGGGCCUCUUUCCGACCCGUCUUGAAACACGGACCAAGGAGUCUAACAUGCGCGCGAGUCGCGGGGUAUCGAGCGUACUUCGGUGCGUUCGUUAUGUUGCGAAACCCGUACAUGUCGAAGGCGUAAUGAAAGUGAAUGGGGAAGAUGGUGGUCCGAGUACACGUUCCGCGAUCGUCGGUAUCGCGGCCGGUCACCCGCAUUCCCAGGGCGUCUCAACGGCCCGUCGUUGAUGCGGACAGUCGUCUUUCGGGGCGGCUGUCGGUCGGCGACGAACCGA
RNAcentral lists this ribosomal RNA (537 nucleotides) under Aonidiella aurantii (California citrus scale). RNAcentral describes it as "partial 28S ribosomal RNA". Lineage: Eukaryota; Metazoa; Arthropoda; Insecta; Hemiptera; Diaspididae. The record is from RNAcentral.